AUUGAACGCUGGCGGCAUGCUUUACACAUGCAAGUCGAACGGCAGCGGGGUAGUGCUUGCACUACUGCCGGCGAGUGGCGAACGGGUGAGUAAUAUAUCGGAACGUACCGAGUAAUGGGGGAUAACCAAUCGAAAGAUUGGCUAAUACCGCAUACGUCCUGAGGGAGAAAGCGGGGGAUCGCAAGACCUCGCGUUAUUCGAGCGGCCGAUAACUGAUUAGCUAGUUGGUGGGGUAAAGGCCUACCAAGGCGACGAUCAGUAGCGGGUCUGAGAGGACGAUCCGCCACACUGGGACUGAGACACGGCCCAGACUCCUACGGGAGGCAGCAGUGGGGAAUUUUGGACAAUGGGGGCAACCCUGACCCAGCCAUGCCGCGUGUAUGAAGAAGGCCUUCGGGUUGUAAAGUACUUUUGUUAGGGAAGAAAAGGGAAGUGCUAAUACCACUUUUUGCUGACGGUACCUAAAGAAUAAGCACCGGCUAACUACGUG
Molecule: ribosomal RNA, 490 nt
Filed under: uncultured bacterium
Lineage: Bacteria
Description: partial 16S ribosomal RNA
Rfam family: Bacterial small subunit ribosomal RNA
Source: RNAcentral